CUGACUCAGCAGUUGGUCACUUGGCUCAUGGGCAGAGGAAGAAUGCCGCUAGCUGUGAGAAUUAAUGUGAAGUACAGGACACACUGAUCGUCAACACUUUGGACACACCUGAAGCCCUGGGUUCUUCUUACAGCUAUGCCAAAAAAAAUUCAA
Molecule: non-coding RNA, 153 nt
Organism: Equus caballus (horse)
Lineage: Eukaryota; Metazoa; Chordata; Mammalia; Perissodactyla; Equidae
Source: Rfam